UACAGAGGAUGCAAGCGUUAAUCGGAAUUACUGGGCGUAAAGCGUGCGCAGGCGGUAAUGUAAGACUGUCGUGAAAUCCCCGGGCUUAACCUGGGAAUGGCGAUGGUGACUGCAAGGCUAGAGUUUGGCAGAGGGGGGUAGAAUUCCACGUGUAGCAGUGAAAUGCGUAGAGAUGUGGAGGAACACCGAUGGCGAAGGCAGCCCCCUGGGUCAAGACUGACGCUCAUGCACGAAAGCGUGGGGAGCAAACAGG
Molecule: ribosomal RNA, 253 nt
Filed under: uncultured bacterium
Lineage: Bacteria
Description: partial 16S ribosomal RNA
Rfam family: Bacterial small subunit ribosomal RNA
Source: RNAcentral